AAGUCGUAACAAGGUCUCCGUAGGUGAACCUGCGGAGGGAUCAUCAUAGGAAAACAUUUACAAAAGAGGUUGUUGGGGGGGGGAGGGAAGGAAAAGCGUGCUCUGCAUUGCAUUUCUCUCUCUCGUCUCCUCGGCUUCUUUUCAAACAAACGAUCGCAACUAUAUUAUUGUAUGUGUAUGGGGGGAUUUUGGCUUGGCUUGGCUUGGCUUGGCUGAUUUGGAAGCGAGCGAGCAAAAGAGAAAGAAAAGUGUUUGCCUGAUACUGAAAAAUGCCAUUGAUUUGGUUGGAGAGUAAUAUUGAUAUAUAUACAACUUUCAACAACGGAUCUCUUGGCUCUCA
Molecule: unclassified non-coding RNA, 340 nt
Filed under: fungal sp.
Lineage: Eukaryota; Fungi
Description: partial internal transcribed spacer region
Rfam family: Eukaryotic small subunit ribosomal RNA (bases 1-46)
Source: RNAcentral